CACCACUCAAGCCUCGCUUGGUAUUGGGCGCCGCGCUUCGGCGCGCGCCUCAAUGUAUCCGGCUGAGCCGUCCGUCUCUAAGCGUUGUGGCACUUUAUGUUUCCGCUUCGGAGCUCGGGAGGUCUCGCGCCGUUAAACACCCCAUCAAA
Molecule: unclassified non-coding RNA, 149 nt
Filed under: uncultured Capnodiales
Lineage: Eukaryota; Fungi; Ascomycota; Dothideomycetes; Capnodiales
Description: sequence contains ITS2
Source: RNAcentral